RNAcentral lists this microRNA (22 nucleotides) under Anolis carolinensis (green anole). RNAcentral describes it as "aca-miR-9574-3p". Lineage: Eukaryota; Metazoa; Chordata; Lepidosauria; Squamata; Anolidae. The record is from miRBase by way of RNAcentral.
UUUGUAUUUCAGAGAUGGAGGG